UUGAAUAAACUUGGUCAAGCUGUUGCUGGUCCUUCGGGGCAUGUGCACGCUUGCCACCAAUUUUAACCACCUGUGCACCUCUUGUAGAUUGGAAACGUUUCUCGGGGCAACUCGGAUUGAGGACUGCUGCGCGCAAGCCAGCUGUUCUUGUGUUUCUCAAUCUAUGUUUUCAUAUACUCCUAAUGUAUGUAUCAGAAUGUAUUGUUAGGCCUCAGUGCCUUUAAAUCAAAUA
RNAcentral lists this unclassified non-coding RNA (232 nucleotides) under uncultured Clitopilus. RNAcentral describes it as "sequence contains ITS1". The record is from RNAcentral. Lineage: Eukaryota; Fungi; Basidiomycota; Agaricomycetes; Agaricales; Entolomataceae.